CUAAUAUGCAGUGACGUGCACAGGUAGCACAGGGUUUGAAACCAGGGUAGGCAUUAGUUAGGUAGGAAACUGUUCACUGGCAGGUCAUAAUUAAAAAUAUGCAUUGAGCUAUUUCAACUGAGGUAAGCAGUGCAUUUAUGCCUCUAUAACCUGCACACCACUGCUAAUAUGUAGCUUUCUAUAGUUUUAUUUUUGAU
This is a long non-coding RNA of Maniola jurtina (meadow brown), 197 nucleotides long. RefSeq lists it as uncharacterized. The transcript is spliced from 3 exons. Lineage: Eukaryota; Metazoa; Arthropoda; Insecta; Lepidoptera; Nymphalidae. The record is from RefSeq and is a predicted model, not a curated record.